Molecule: long non-coding RNA, 1818 nt
Organism: Amazona collaria (yellow-billed parrot)
Lineage: Eukaryota; Metazoa; Chordata; Aves; Psittaciformes; Psittacidae
Source: Ensembl
UAGGAGUGAAAGCAGAGUAAAGGCAGUACUGAAACCCUGCCUUCAUUCGGUGUCUUAGGGACACAUUUGAGUCUCAAAUGAAGACUUACACAGCUCCCUCACUAGUUGCCCUGUUUCUCAUCUGUUCUUUCUUGCUGACUCCCGUAGGAAAGCAAGAGCUUAUGAUUCACUGAUGGGUGACUUUGUUGUGUCAAUAGUUACAUGAAAGCCAGUGCAGCAAGUUGUAGAUCCAUUGAAGUUUGCCAUAAAAAGGCAUUAAGAUGUGCCUCCAGGACAGUGAUAUGCUGAGGAAUUUUAUAGGGCAAUGGUGUCUGCUUUGAUUUGGUAAUAUGGUAUCAAUAAUGGAGAUAGGUGUUAAAAGACUGGCCAUUCCAUGAAGAGACAUUCUCUUCAGGACAGCAAAUCUCUUUUCACUGACGUGUUUGUUAGCACAAGUCAAUGAGGGUGUAAAUUUGAUCCCCUGUCUUUCUUAGCCUCUGCUGCUCUUAGGUCUGUUGAGGUAGAGGUCUUUUCUCAUGAACCCCAACUCCGGGAAGUGGAUGACAGCUGUAACUUCCAGGAGCACCCUUUGCAUCCUGGCCAUCCUGAGUAGAUAGAGCCUAUAUGCAGCUUUUAAGAAAGGGGAACAGAACCCCCCUGAAAAGACUUUUUCCCUGAGCAAGGACCGAAAGCAGCUGCAAGCAGGAAGCAUAGGGGAUCCCUAGAAUUAGACUGUGAGUUGAGGGGAGUAUUAUUUAAAAGUGUGUAGCUGCCUGGUAUCCCAACCUCUCCUUUUUCUUCCUCAUACUUCACUCAUCAGGUUUGGUGUCUCCUCUUUUCACAGGAAAGUAAAUAUCUCUUCAGCCUCUCAAGGCUGCUGCUGCUGGCUUCAUACAGACCCGUUGGAUGGUGGUGCUCGCAGUUCCUGCCCGACUGUCCAGACUGAUAAGAUCUCUUCAUUGUGUGCACUCAGGUGUCAGCCAGUGCCAUACUGACUGGUGUAUGGCUGAAACUGCAAGACAAAACCAUUGUCAAGCUGAAGACUUCUUCAAGCUGCAGUAGAUUGUGACCCUGCUACUGACUUUCUGCGUAUGACUUGAUUCUGUCAGCUGCUGAUCUGUGGACAGUCAUGAUAACUGCAUGGGCAGUUGAUGGACAGCUGGAAGAGACAGCAAAGCAAAGGUAUAAGUAGCUUCUGCUUCUCUCCAGGGGUCUGGCAGUUAGAAAGUGCUACUCUGUAGUCUAACUUGUUCAAUAUAGGAUAUAUCACCUGCCAAACGCUUGUUAAUCAAACUGAAAGCUUCAUGUUUAAACUAGGCAAGAGGUAUCUUUGAAGAAGAGAUCUGAGAUUCAUUUAAAAUAGCAAGUGGUAUCAGUCUGUUGUGUCACUUGAUGGGGUAUUUGACUGCUUCAGAACUCACUCUGGAAAAGGUCCAGUUUGAGUCCCAGUCCCAAAAAUUCCUUUGGAUUUGAAUUUGCCUAGCUGAGCUGAUAUAUAAAGGGUAUGAAAGGGAAGAAAUGAUGGGGACAGAAGCAGAAGUCAGGAAAUAAUUAGAUUAUGUGGUAUUUUACUUCAGCUUGACAAAACCCCAGUCUUUGCUUCAUUCAUUCCUAAAGAAUGACUACCUGUUUCUGAAACCACAGGAAAAGAGACCUUUUAAUGCUUUCUUGUAAGACAUAAGAAAUAAAGAUACUUUAUCACAGGAUUUUAUGAAAUGUUGCUAUAUUAUUUGAAAUUAAUAUAUACAGUAUAUACAGUUCUAUAACAGCUAUGUAUGAAUGAAUAUAUGCAGUGUCUUACAGACCAACACUGUAGAAAUAAUUGUCCUUUCCAUUUAA